UAAGUGUCUUGAACUCUGCGAAUAUUACGUAUCUUAUUCCUGCUUGGAAUGCUCUAUGGUUCCUGUCUGCGAUACUUUUCUUGUAAAGUGAUCAAAUUAUCUUUCAAUCCUACUCUCUUGUUCACGUACGCUCUUGUUUGAUUCUGGCUGCAUAUGCUUGUUUAAAACCCUUGGUGUAUUUAGCUUCUUUAUUUAGCCACUUCCACUUGAAUCAUGUAUUUUUUUUAUAUAUACAUUUGAAUCUGUUUUGAUGCAAUACACAUUUUUAAGUUCAUAUUUUGAGUCCUUUGUAAACAAAUUGUAAUUUAGUUUUUUUCCUUAUUUGACGAUAAUUACAGCCAUUCUUUAAAUCUUAACAAAACCGCUUUUAAUUUGAUAUGUACUUUAUAUAAACGUUGAAAGAUUCUUAUACAGUUUAAAACUAAUUGUUUCCAAUACCUCGCCUGUUUCUUUACUGAUUUAUGGAAAUAUAUAUAUACUUUAAAUACAAUUUGAUUUUCUAGCAACUUUAUUACAAUUUUUACGAAUAUCCUUAUUUGAUUAUAUACUUAGAUAUUUUUCAAAGAAAGGUUUUUAUCUCCUCCUAGUUAGUUUUUAUUUGGUAAACUUCACCUAUUUUAUUUUUAAUUUGAAUUUGGUUUAGCAUACUAUAUUGUUUGUGCAAUUAUUGUUCUUCUAGAAAAAAAAAUGUUGGACUCAUAUAUUUCUUCUUGUAAAUAAACCAAUUUCUUUCUUAAGCUUUUCAUUUAUGAGAAUGUUAUAUUUGAUUCUGUUUUUAAUUACUCUCUCACCUUUUUUGAACGUCACCAUUAGUCUUAGUUUUUCAUUUCUUAUGAAUCUCAUGCUCAUUCGAGUCAACUUGAAUUCGUUUCCAUCUAAUGCACCAUUUGUCCUUUUAUUUGUCUUUCUUUAGUCAAAGAUUUUCUUGAGAAUUUUCUAUUGAUUAAGUUAUCUUUCCUGACGCAUUUUGUAUUCCUUUGGACCAAUUGGAAACUCAUUUGAUAAUCUGUGCCUAGUGAGUUUUUUUUUAAGAAAUUUAAGUUUUGAAUCAACUUCUUUAAGUUGCUGAGUUUCUUUUUAAGCUUUUCGUUUCUAUGAGCGACAUGCUUUAUGAAUCCUAAUCGAAAUCCUUUAAGUUCCUUUCUUAAAAUGAAUUAGUUUCCUUUUUAGCGCAUCUUAAUAUUAUUGAACAUCUUUAUAAAGUUGUAACUUCAAGUAUAUUAUUGGAAUUUUAUUUUAAACCUUUUUAAACAAGUUUUGAUUUAUUCUUAUGCAAAGUUGUCCUUGACUUUGAAUUGCUUUACUUGAGCAGUGCCUCUCUUUGAUGUGAUUUGAACUCGUUCCAGGGCGAUAUAACCGUUUAUUAAAGUUUUAAUAAAAUCGCUUUCAAUUCAGGCUACACUCCUUUACUUUAUACUCUGAAAAUUUCUGUAUGCGAUUUAAACAUGUUCAAUUGUAAUGCAUCAACUUUUCUUUUAUGAGUAAAACUUUAUGUCAGGUUUUCUUCCAACAAGAUUGUAGUUUUCAUACAUGCUUGAAAAAGAAGAGAAAAUACAAUUUAGCUCUUAGCCAAAUUAAUCCUUCCAUUUACAAAGUUUGUGUAAUCUAUUUCCACUUGAAUUUAUAUUGAAAUAAUGCUACAUUUAUACUUUUAUUAAUCUUUUGAAGGAUGUUUGUUACCCAUUUUCUCUUUCAGAACAUGAAAUGAUUUCCCCUUAAGUUUUCUAUUUUUUUUACGAACAAUGUAUUCGAAAAUAUUUUUAAACCAUACUCUUGAGUUCUAUAAACUUUGUCUUUGGUUUGGAUAUUCUUCUUCUGUAAACCUCAUAUUUUUUUGAUUCAUCUUGAAUUCGUUUCAAAAUACUGUGUUGUUUUUCAUCUUAUUGAUCCUAUCGAAUCCCGUCGACUCAAGAGUUACCUUUAAAGUUAUCAGUUGAUCCUCUUUCCAACAUUCUUCGUUUCUUGUUUAUCCUUGUCUACUUAUGAUUUCAACAAUUCCUUUCAAAUUCUCGCGAAUACGGUCCUUGCCGCUUUUCUUUCUUUGCUAAGGUCUAUUAUCCUUCGGAGUAUACUCGAAGUUAGUUUUGGUAUCUUGUGUGACUGUUGGACUUAGUAAACGACACAUUAAUUCCUUAGGGUACGUUUGAUGGACGCAAAAGGUGAAACUUGUAAAUAUACAAUGUUGCAGGGAGUUGUGGAACGUUAUUUCAUGUGAAAGAAUUUUGUUGAUGUUGGGUUUGUGACCAUUAAGAUUUAUGAAGUGUUGACGAGGUUGAAAACCUUCGGAUGAGUUGCUCAAUAAAGUACAGUUGAGAAUGAUGGAGAUAAGUUAUAUUGAAGUUUGAAUAGUUGAGUCUUUGAAGUUGGUAUGAGAUUAGUAUACAGAUGUUGAGCACAUCAUUUUAACCCCGGCUUGCUUUAUAGCCUUUUGCCGCCUUGCAUUACCAUCACACGUGUGAAAUAUAUUAUUUUGUGCAUCAAGCCUAUCUUGUAAUUUUGUUUCACAUCAUACUUAUACCUUUUAUAUUUUUAUGCCAUAUGAAAAUUCUGGUAUUUGAAACUAUAUGAAUAUAUAUA
RNAcentral lists this long non-coding RNA (2577 nucleotides) under Arachis ipaensis. Its description in RNAcentral is "long non-coding RNA (AIPA_LNC001041)". The record is from RNAcentral. Lineage: Eukaryota; Viridiplantae; Streptophyta; Magnoliopsida; Fabales; Fabaceae.